UUUUUAUGAUAUUUAGGGUUAUUUUUUUGGAGGGAAAUUGAAAUAAUUUUUUGUUUAUCAAGGACAAUUAGGGCAAAUUUUUGAAUUUUACACAUGUGUUUUCAAUAUUUCCUAUAAAGGCAUGCAAUAAAAGAAAACUGGUACUUGGAAUUUUACCAUUGUUUAUUGAAAUUUGAUAUUCCAAAGGGGAAAAAGUAAAAAUGCAUGUUUUAUUCUUAAGGGAACCAGUCUCUACCUCUUUAAUCCAAUAUUCCUUUUCACUGGCACUAGCAUUAUUUACUUGGCAAGCCAUGAAUAUUAGAUGUUUAAAAUCUUAUUUUCUGUUAUGUGUAAAUAUC
RNAcentral lists this long non-coding RNA (338 nucleotides) under Mytilus galloprovincialis (Mediterranean mussel). The record is from RNAcentral. Lineage: Eukaryota; Metazoa; Mollusca; Bivalvia; Mytilida; Mytilidae.